GUAAGGAAUAUUGGGCAAUGGAGGCAACUCUGACCCAGCCAUGCCGCGUGAAGGAUUGACGGCCCUCUGGGUUGUAAAUAUCUUUUAUCUGGGAAGAAACUCCUCUAUUCUUAGAGGCCUGACGGUACCAGAGGAAUAAGCACCGGCUAACUCCGUGCCAGCAGCCGCGGUAAUACGGAGGGUGCAAGCGUUAUCCGGAUUCACUGGGUUUAAAGGGUGCGUAGGCGGGUUGAUAAGUCAGUGGUGAAAGCUCCGGGCUUAACUUGGAAACUGCCAUUGAUACUGUCAGUCUUGAAUGUCGUAGAGGUAAGCGGAAUGUUGCAUGUAGCGGUGAAAUGCUUAGAUAUGUUACAGAACACCAAUUGCGAAGGCAGCUUACUAUGCGAUAAUUGACGCUGAGGCACGAAAGCGUGGGGAGCAAACAGGAUUAGAAACCCGUGUAGUCC
Molecule: ribosomal RNA, 446 nt
Filed under: uncultured bacterium
Lineage: Bacteria
Description: partial 16S ribosomal RNA
Rfam family: Bacterial small subunit ribosomal RNA
Source: RNAcentral